ACACGACUACAUUAGAUACCCGCGUAGUCCUAGGCGUAAAUGAUGUGAGUUAAGUGUGGGGGCAUCUACGAGAUGGCCCUGUGCUGUAGGGAAGCCGUGAAGCGAGCCACCUGGGAAGUACGGCCGCAAGGCUGAAACUUAAAGGAAUUGGCGGGGAGCACCACAACGGGUGGAGCUUGCGGUUUAAUUGGAUUCAACGCCGGAAAUCUUACCGGGACCGACAGCAACAUGAAGGCCAGGCUGAAGACUUUGCCGGAUUAGCUG
This 264-nucleotide ribosomal RNA is filed under the name uncultured archaeon. Its description in RNAcentral is "partial 16S ribosomal RNA". It matches the Rfam family "Archaeal small subunit ribosomal RNA", at positions 717 to 982 of the family's 1478-position model. The record is from RNAcentral.